GUCUCAACACACAGUGACAACAUGCUGGUGACUCUCUGUGCUCUUAUCACUGCUCUAACAUGUGUGAGUGGUGUGACGGUGGUGACACAGAAACCUCCUGUUUUAUCAGUGAGGAAAGGAGAGACAGCCACCAUGGACUGUAACCUGGGGACUGUUACUAAUGAACCUGCUUGGUGGUAUAAACAGAUUCCAGGAGGAGUUCCUCAGUAUGUAGUGAAGUUUCGUCAUGACUGGAGUUCUCAAUACGAUGGCUCUGGAUUCUCUUCUCCAAAAUUCACAUGUACUCAUCAGUCAACAACAGAUUAUCGUUUGAUGAUCAAAAAUGUGGAGGAGGAAGACUCUGCAGUCUAUUACUGUAAGACAUGGGACACCUCUGUUAAGGAGUACGCAUCACAGUGAUUUACACUGUGACAAAAACUUCCUCACUAUUACUUCUGCUUUUUGGGUACAA
Maylandia zebra (zebra mbuna) is the source of this 451-nucleotide non-coding RNA. NCBI's taxonomy places the organism in Eukaryota, Metazoa, Chordata, Actinopteri, Cichliformes, Cichlidae. The record is from the annotation of a RefSeq genome assembly.